This 492-nucleotide ribosomal RNA is filed under the name uncultured bacterium. Its description in RNAcentral is "partial 16S ribosomal RNA". It matches the Rfam family "Bacterial small subunit ribosomal RNA", at positions 29 to 507 of the family's 1533-position model. The record is from RNAcentral.
AGUGAACGCUGGCGGUAGGCCUAACACAUGCAAGUCGAACGGCAGCACAGUAAGAGCUUGCUCUUACGGGUGGCGAGUGGCGGACGUGUGAGGAAUACAUCGGAAUCUACUUUUUCGUGGGGGAUAACGUAGGGAAACUUACGCUAAUACCGCAUACGACCUACGGGUGAAAGCAGGGGAUCUUCGGACCUUGCGCGAUUGAAUGAGCCGAUGUCGGAUUAGCUAGUUGGCGGGGUAAAGGCCCACCAAGGCGACGAUCCGUAGCUGGUCUGAGAGGAUGAUCAGCCACACUGGAACUGAGCCACGGUCCAGACUCCUACGGGAGGCAGCAGUGGGGAAUAUUGGACAGUGGGCGCAAGCCUGAUCCAGCCAUCCCGCGUGGGUGAAGAAGGCCUUCGGGUUGUAAAGCCCUUUUGUUGGGAAAGAAACGCAGCAGGUUAAUACCCCGCUGUUCUGACGGUACCCAAAGAAUAAGCACCGGCUAACUUCGUG